This 458-nucleotide ribosomal RNA is filed under the name uncultured bacterium. Its description in RNAcentral is "bacterial SSU rRNA". It matches the Rfam family "Bacterial small subunit ribosomal RNA", at positions 1 to 451 of the family's 1533-position model. The record is from RNAcentral.
CCCUUAGAGUUUGAUCCUGGCUCAGGAUGAACGCUAGCUACAGGCUUAACACAUGCAAGUCGAGGGGCAGCAUGGUCUUAGCUUGCUAAGGCCGAUGGCGACCGGCGCACGGGUGAGUAACGCGUAUCCAACCUGCCUUACACUCUUGGACAGCCUUCUGAAAGGGAGAUUAAUACAAGAUGUUAUCAUGAGUAAGCAUUUUCACAUGAUUAAAGGUUUACCGGUGUAAGAUGGGGAUGCGUUCCAUUAGAUAGUAGGCGGGGUAACGGCCCACCUAGUCUUCGAUGGAUAGGGGUUCUGAGAGGAAGGUCCCCCACAUUGGAACUGAGACACGGUCCAAACUCCUACGGGAGGCAGCAGUGAGGAAUAUUGGUCAAUGGACGAGAGUCUGAACCAGCCAAGUAGCGUGAAGGAUGAAGGUUCUAUGGAUUGUAAACUUCUUUUAUAUGGGAAUAAAC